This 511-nucleotide ribosomal RNA is filed under the name uncultured bacterium. RNAcentral's name for it is "bacterial SSU rRNA". It matches the Rfam family "Bacterial small subunit ribosomal RNA", at positions 16 to 518 of the family's 1533-position model. The record is from RNAcentral.
AUCCUGGCUUAGGAUGAACGCUAGCUACAGGCUUAACACAUGCAAGUCGAGGGGCAGCAUAUCGAAGCUUGCUUGACAGAUGGCGACCGGCGCACGGGUGAGUAACGCGUAUCCAACCUUCCCCAUAGUAGGGCAUAGCCCGUAGAAAUGCGGAUUAAUACCCUAUGUAUUCCGAGGAUGACAUCUGAUUCGGAACAAGGUUCACCGCUAUGGGAUGGGGGAUGCGUCUGAUUAGGUAGUAGGCGGGGUAACGGCCCACCUAGCCGACGAUCAGUAGGGUUCUGAGAGGAAGGUCCCCCACAUUGGAACUGAGACACGGUCCAAACUCCUACGGGAGGCAGCAGUGAGGAAUAUUGGUCAAUGGGCGAGAGCCUGAACCAGCCAAGUAGCGUGCAGGAUGACGGCCCUAUGGGUUGUAAACUGCUUUUAUACAGGGAUAAAGUCGGGGACGCGUUCCCCGUUUGCAGGUACUGUAUGAAUAAGGACCGGCUAAUUCCGUGCCAGCCGCUGC